CCUACGGGAGGCAGCAGUAGGGAAUAUUGGACAAUGGGGGCAACCCUGAUCCAGCCAUUCCGCGUGCAGGAAUAAGGCCCUAUGGGUCGUAAACUGCUUUUGUAUGGGAAAAAAUCAUCUUACGUGUAGGAUGUUGAUGGUACCAUGAGAAUAAGGAUCGGCUAACUUCGUGCCAGCAGCCGCGGUAAU
This 189-nucleotide ribosomal RNA is filed under the name uncultured Bacteroidota bacterium. RNAcentral describes it as "uncultured Bacteroidetes bacterium partial 16S ribosomal RNA". It matches the Rfam family "Bacterial small subunit ribosomal RNA", at positions 338 to 524 of the family's 1533-position model. The record is from RNAcentral. Lineage: Bacteria; Pseudomonadati; Bacteroidota.